UACGAGGGGGGCGAGCGUUGUUCGGAAUUAUUGGGCGUAAAGGGUGCGUAGGCGGUUUGGUAAGUCUGAUGUGAAAUCUAUGGGCUCAACUCAUAGUCUGCAUCGGAAACUGCCGGGCUUGAGUAUGGGAGAGGUGAGUGGAAUUCCUGGUGUAGCGGUGAAAUGCGUAGAUAUCAGGAGGAACACCUGUGGCGAAAGCGGCUCACUGGACCAUAACUGACGCUGAUGCACGAAAGCUAGGGGAGCGAACGGG
RNAcentral lists this ribosomal RNA (253 nucleotides) under uncultured bacterium. RNAcentral's name for it is "partial 16S ribosomal RNA". It matches the Rfam family "Bacterial small subunit ribosomal RNA", at positions 524 to 776 of the family's 1533-position model. The record is from RNAcentral.